Long non-coding RNA from Myodes glareolus (Bank vole), 734 nucleotides. RefSeq lists it as uncharacterized. NCBI's taxonomy places the organism in Eukaryota, Metazoa, Chordata, Mammalia, Rodentia, Cricetidae. The record is from RefSeq and is a predicted model, not a curated record.
CAAGGCUCAGGAGGAGAGAGCUCGUGCUGCAAGCUUGAGGGAUGGAGAUUGUGUCCCCAGCACCUAUACAAAACGGCUGAGGAUGGAACCCUAACAGCACACAGAGUCACCUGACCAGUUCCUGGACUUUAAAGCUUUCGCUAAGCUUCUCUGGCUCAAAUUUCUCCACGUUGGGAGCUCAAGAAAUCGUGGUAGACCCAGUAUCAUCAGCAAUGAAAAUUGUCACGUGUAAUCCAUUGAACCAGGUGUUGUGGCAUCCUACCACUAAGCACAGUGAAGGUUGAGAGGAGGAUGAAGAGACUUGGGUCAGAAUGAACUACAGAGUGAGACCCUGUGUCAGAAUUCAACAUGGGACCAGAACAAAUCAAGUACCAAAGACAUUAGCUUUAUCACAAAUGACACUUACAUGUGUUCUGCUAGGUAGCUAUCACAGUAGAUUCCUGUCUCAACAUUGAAGUUAUAGCCACAGAAACACUGACCAAUGAUGUUUGUGAAGGAUGAAAUGGGGCACUCCUAUUACAUUAUGAUAAAGGUAUACAAGAACAUACUAACUUCCAUGUAAGAGGCAUGCUUAUCCUGUUUCAUUCCCUUCUGUAUAUUGAAAUUAGAUUCUUCUCUCAUACAAUACAUCCUGGCCACAGUUUCCCUUCCCUCCACUCCUCCCAGCCAGCCUCAAGCUUUCCUCUUACUUAGACCCACCCCAGCUCUGUUUCCUCUUCAGAAAAGAGCAGGUC